CGAGCUUGACGACGUCCUGGCGUGUGGUGGCUCCGGCGACGAGUUCAGGUGAGCUUUCUCCCUUCUUCUUCUCUCUCUUUCUCUUUCUCUUUCUCUUUCUCUUUCUUAAUUUGUGAAUUAUAGAAGAUGGAGUUGGUGGGAAAGAAGGUGGAGAUGGUAGAAAAGAAGGUGGAAAUGGUGGGGUUGGGUAAAGAAGCGGAGAUGGUGGGAUUGGGUCAUUACAGUAUAGCUCUGGAUUACUAUGGCCGGCAGGUAACGAUGUCAGAUCCUUAUACACUCCGGGAUGUGAAAAAUGAAGUCGUGAGUGAUCAAUUUUGUUUCUUUUUUUCACACCAACACAGCCUUUUGGGGUCCCAAAAGCUUAUUUCUUUUGGACAAG
RNAcentral lists this long non-coding RNA (379 nucleotides) under Brassica napus (rape). RNAcentral's name for it is "long non-coding RNA (BNAP_LNC026562)". The record is from RNAcentral. Lineage: Eukaryota; Viridiplantae; Streptophyta; Magnoliopsida; Brassicales; Brassicaceae.